GACGAACGCUGGCGGCGUGCUUAACACAUGCAAGUCGAACGGAAAGGCCCUGCUUUUGUGGGGUGCUCGAGUGGCGAACGGGUGAGUAACACGUGAGUAACCUGCCCUUGACUUUGGGAUAACUUCAGGAAACCGGGGCUAAUACCGGAUAGGAGCUCCUGCUGCAUGGUGGGGGUUGGAAAGUUUCGGCGGUUGGGGAUGGACUCGCGGCUUUCAGCUUGUUGGUGGGGUAGUGGCUUACCAAGGCUUUGACGGGUAGCCGGCCUGAGAGGGUGACCGGCCACAUUGGGGCUGAGAUACGGCCCAGACUCCUACGGGAGGCAGCAGUGGGGAAUAUUGCACAAUGGGCGGAAGCCUGAUGCAGCAACGCCGCGUGCGGGAUGACGGCCUUCGGGUUGUAAACCGCUUUCGCCUGUGACGAAGCGUGAGUGACGGUAAUGGGUAAAGAAGCACCGGCUAACUACGUG
RNAcentral lists this ribosomal RNA (467 nucleotides) under uncultured bacterium. RNAcentral describes it as "partial 16S ribosomal RNA". It matches the Rfam family "Bacterial small subunit ribosomal RNA", at positions 28 to 507 of the family's 1533-position model. The record is from RNAcentral.